RNAcentral lists this long non-coding RNA (3754 nucleotides) under Canis lupus familiaris (dog). RNAcentral describes it as "lncRNA (ENSCAFG00845021707.1)". Lineage: Eukaryota; Metazoa; Chordata; Mammalia; Carnivora; Canidae. The record is from RNAcentral.
UUUUUUUUUUUUAUGUUUUUUUUUAAUAAAUUGAUUUUUUAUUGGUGUUCAAUUACCCCAACAUACAGAAUAACACCCAGUGCCCGCGGGGCAGCCCAAAACCUGAGGAAGCGAGCCUGUUCCCUGGCCCGCCGCGCCCCGGCUCAGCCCGGCCAACCCCCUCGUUUCAAAGAGAGGUUUUAAGAUCAAAGAUGGGGAAAAUCGGAGAAAAUUGCCAUUCGCCACGGCCAGCUUGUUCAUGGUAUACACUUGUGUGAACAACCAAAGAUAAACAGACAGAAAAGCAAUAUAACUUACCAAUUAGCCGAGAUCAACCUCUGGCAAAAAAAGAAAUGGAAAUAACUUUUGGCAGGAUUCUGUUUCAUCCGCUUUAAUUCAGAAGCAGGAAAAAAAAAAUCCUUUUAAAAACACUGAGAAAUAGUAAAAAUAUGCAUUUGAAGAAAUAGCAUUCAUUUCUAACUGAAGUGAGCACAAAGGAAAAGUGUGCUGGGGGCAAAGUUUCGUGAUCCACCUUCUCCAUUGUUUCUUCCAAAGCCUCCUAGUCACUGGAUGGGAAGCACUACUGAACAAAUUCCCAACCAAAAUAGGGAGUUGAUGGGCGGUAUUUCUACUUAAAAACGCUCCUAAAAGUUCAAACUUAGAUCUCAGAUUGCAAUGUCUGUCAGUUUCCAAAAUUUGGACUCUUGAAAAGAAGAAUUGGUACAGAAAUGAAAAAUUUGCCUUGUAACUUACAAGUGCAAAGAUGAGUUGAAAAAUUACAACCAACAACUCUUGUAUUAUAUUUUAUAUUUUGUAAAUACGUUAUACAUGUAUUAUGUGUAUAUUGUUCAUACUUGAGACGUACAUUAUAGUUUUGUUAUGAAAGUAUGUAUUUUGCCCUGCGAACGGUAGGUGUUUGUAUACAUACGAUGGAGAAAUUUUAAGUGUGCUAAGGCUAUAUGGAAGACCGAUUUUAUUUGCACAAGGUACUUGAGAUUUUUUUUUAAAGGAACAGCUAUCUCAAUGUUGAGAUCUAAAUGUGAACAGUUUUACUAAUCGCACUACUGAAGUUUAAAUCUGUGGCACAAUCAUUGUAAACAUGGGGUUUGUCUAGUGAUUUCUCUAAAUUUGAUUUCUGGCUUCUAAUCUGUAAUUACUGGAACAACUAUUCCCAUUUUUACCAAACUUAAUUUCUGGUUUUUGGUUUAGUUCAUUCAAAUUUAAGAUACCUCUAAUUUUAAUGCCAAUAAAAUUGGUUGUACUCAAAUUUUUAAAUAAUAAAGUAAUUUGGCCCCCCCCUUUUAAAAAGAAAAGAAAUAUUUGUUUAACUCAAACAAGGCAAGUUAAGGAGAAAAGACAAUGAAAACUGCAGGCAACAUAUGGAAAAAAAGCAAUAUGAUAAAUAUGAUAAAUGUAAAUACAGCCACAUCAACAAUUAUGCUACAUGUUACUGUCUUAUUACCCCUAUUAAAAAGCAAUGAUCAUUGGACUAGAUAAAAGGCAAGAUUCAACUGUUGCUAUCUACAAGAGACAUAUUUUGGAUCCAGAGACACAAAUACAGGAAAGGAAAAAGAUAGAAAAAUAUACACCGUGCAAGCAGUAAUCAUAAAAAAGCUUGUGUCUAUAUUAAUAUUAGACAAAAUAGACUUUAUGACAAUAAAUAUUAUGAGAGAAUGAGAGGGAAAUUUCAGAAUGAUAAAAGGUUCAGUAGAUCAAGAAGGGAUAUAACAAUUAUAAAUGUAAAUUUACUCAACAGCAGAGUUUCAAAAUACACAAAGCAAAAUUGAAAGGAAUAAAAAGAAAAAUAGACAAUUUAGUAGCUCACUCUCAAUAAUUGAUAAAAUAGCUUGUAUGAACAUCAUCAAAGAUACAGAAGACAUAGAUGAUAUUAUUAACCAAUUUGAUCUAACUAAUAAUAAUAAUCUAACUAAUAAUAAUAACUAAUAAUAAUGUAACUAAUAAACCAUUUUAUCUAAUAAAUGAAGAAUACACAUUCUUCUCAAAUUUGCAUAGAAAAAUUUUCUGGACAUACAAUAUUAUAGUCCAGUCCAACAAGUAAUCAAUAACAUUUAAUAGUGAAAUAAUAAAAUAUGUGUUUUCUGAUUACAAAGAAAUUAAAUUUUAAAUCCACAGCAGAGAAGCCUGGGUGGCUCAGUGGUUGAGUGUCUGCCUUCAGCUCAGGGCAUGAUCCUGGGGUCUGGGAUUGAGUACUGCAUCGGAUCCCUGCAGAGAGCCCACUUCUCCCUCUGCCUAUGUCUCUGCCUCUCUCUCUGUGUCUCUCAUGAACAAAUAAAUAAAAUUAAAAAAAAAAAAAAAAGAAAUCCACAGAAGAAAAUAUAAGAAAUCAAGUGUUGUUAAAUUAAGCUGCACGCUUUCUAAGUAUUUACCCAAAGAAUACAAAAAUACUAAUUCAAAGGGAUACAUGCACCCCAAUGUUUCCAGUAGCAUUAUCUGCAAUGGCCAAGUUAAGAAACAGCACAAGUGUCCUUCAACUGAUGAAUGAUAAAGAAGAUGUAGUAUAUAUCUCACUCACACACACACACACACACACACACACACACACACCAUGGAAUAUUAGUCAUAAAAAAAGAAUAGAGCUAGAGAGUAUUAUGCUAAGUGAAAUAAGUCAGUCAAAGAAAGGCAAAUAUCAUGAUUUCACUCAUGUAGAAUUUAAGAAAAAAAUGAGCAAAGGGGAAUAAAAGAGGCAAAUCAAGAAACAGACUCUUAAUUAUAGAGAACAAACUAGUGGUUAUCAGAGAGGAGGUGAAUGGGGGAUAGAAUAAAUAGGGGACUGGGUAUUAAGUAGUGUGGAGAGCAUUCGAUUUUUUGUAUGGAAGUUGUUUAAUACACUAGAUUGUCCACGCUGAAACGAAUAUGACCAUCUUUAUUUUUAUUAACCGGAAUUUAAAUAAAAACAUUUUUAUAAAAUAGAUAAAAGCACACUUUCAAAUAUUCCCAAGGGUUAACCAAAAAAAAAAAAAAAAAAAAAAGAAUCACAAAAGAAACUGGAAAAUAAGUAGAACUAAAUGAAAAUAACAACUAAUCAAUCAAAAUAUAUGGAAUAUACCUAAAUCAUUGCAUUUAUAUCAUUAAAUACUAUAUCAGAAAAGAUCACCUCAAAUAAAUAAUUAAAGUUUUCACUUUAAGAAACUAGACAAAGAAUGGCAAAUUAAACCCAAUACACACACACACACACACAUACACACACACUCAUGUUCAUAUAUGCAUACAUACACACACUUGUGUUCAUGCAUGCACACACAUUCAUGUUCAUCCAUGCACAAAUUCAUGUUCAUGUGUGCAGUCACACUUAUACAAAGGAAACAAUGAAGAUGAGAGCAGACACAAAUGAUAUAGAAAGAUUUAAAAAGUUGAUGAAAUAAUAAAGUUUGUUCUUGAAGAAAAUCAAUAAAAUUGACCAAAGACAACUGAACUGUCCAAGAAAAAAAAAAAAGAGAGAGAGAAAAAGCACAUCACCAAAACCAGGUAUAAAAGAGUGGACAUUACUGUGUGUGCUGUAGAAAUCAGAGGGAUUAUAAAGGAUUAUUGUGACUACCUUAUAUCUACAAAUGAGACAACUUGGAGUGGACAAAUCCCUACAAAGACAUUUAUUAUCAAAACCUGACUUAAGGGGUACCUCAGUGGCUCAGUCAGUUAAGUCUACCUUUGGCUUGGGUCAUGGGCCAGGGAUCCUGGGAUCAAGCCCUGCAUUGGGGUCCCUGUUCGAGGGGAGCCUGCUUCUCCCUCACCUCCCCAUUUGUGCUCAAUCUCUCAA